GUUUGUUUCUGACACUGAAUACACCCAAUCUCAUCGGAUCUGCAAAGCUAAGCAGGGUUGGGCCUGGUUAGUAUUUGGAUGGGAGACUACCUGGGAAUACCAGGUGCUGUAAGCU
RNAcentral lists this ribosomal RNA (115 nucleotides) under Amphiprion percula (orange clownfish). The record is from RNAcentral. Lineage: Eukaryota; Metazoa; Chordata; Actinopteri; Pomacentridae.